GCCCGAUUGAUCGUCGUUGGUACGGCGUGCAGGCUUCAAGGAUGUAAGUAGGGUCUAUACGAGGGCACCUGUAGAUCGCGAAGGCGAUAGAGGUUCGAUUCCUCCUAGCGGGC
RNAcentral lists this transfer RNA (113 nucleotides) under Hypsibius dujardini. Its description in RNAcentral is "Selenocysteine transfer RNA". It matches the Rfam family "Selenocysteine transfer RNA". The record is from Rfam by way of RNAcentral. Lineage: Eukaryota; Metazoa; Tardigrada; Eutardigrada; Parachela; Hypsibiidae.